Molecule: long non-coding RNA, 2347 nt
Filed under: Gallus gallus (chicken)
Lineage: Eukaryota; Metazoa; Chordata; Aves; Galliformes; Phasianidae
Description: lncRNA (ENSGALG00010007494.1)
Source: RNAcentral
GCUCCAGGCGGAGCCGCGCUCCCCUGCGGCCGCCGCGGCGGAGCUCCGCGCCUCGCACCGCCCCCGCGCAGCGCUCGGCUCGGCUGCAGCCGCAGCCGGGGUGUGGGGCGGCGGGAGCGGGCGGCGGGCCCAGCGCCGCCGGGGGGAGAGGCGGCCCCGGGGGAGGGGGGCUGCCCGGGGGCAGAAGGGAGGCGGCAGGGAGCCGGGCGCGGGCCCGCUGAUGGAUGCGGCGGCUCCGGGCCGGGUAGAAGUGUCGGGGUGUCCCGGAACCCUCGGGUCCGCGGGAGGGCUGUUGCGUUGGGCAGGAGACGGACGGAGCCGAAGAGUGGAAGUGUGUUCAGGAGUAACGUUAGCUGAAGGAGAACAGCACGUAUCCCUGCGAGAAACGAACGGGCUCCUCUGUCGUGCUGAGCACUGUCCAGAGCUUUUCAUAGAAGAUUAAUUCCUGCUGAUUUAGACUGAAUAAAUUGAGUCUGCCUUUGAUUGCAUUACGGCCUGGAUGACAGUAGGUCCGAACCCAAGCAAGGCCUCAGAGGACCUCUCCCUGGACUCGUGCUUAAUUCUACACAGCCACUCACUCACUGCCAUCUUUGAGGAAAGCAAGAGAGAACUGGAAAGAAAAGGUGUAUGGAUUAGUUGGAUGAACCUGUCAGUGGAUAAGGAGUGGAUGGCCACAUUCAAAGAGCUGUGGUACACAGCCCGAUGUUCAGCUGGAGAACAAAGAAGACUGAUGUCCUUCAAGAGCUGUUACUGGGACAGGUAUCAUUUAAUAUCUGUAUUGGAGACGUGGACAGUGGUCUCAGGUUCACCCUCAGCAGGUCUGGGGUUGACACUAAGCUGCGUGGUGCGGUCAGCAUGCUGGAGGGAAGUGAUGCCCCUAUGAGGGACCUGAGGAGGCUGAAGAAGUGGGCCUGUGUGAACCUCAUGAAGUUAACAAGGCCAACUGCAAGGUCUUGCACUUGGGUUGGGGCAAUCCCAAGCAUGAAGACAGGUUGAGUGGAGAAUGGAUUAAGCUCAGACACGCAGUGAAGGAUUUAGGUGUGUUGUUGGACAAAAACAGAAUGUUUCUGAAUUCUGAAUGAUGAAUGAAUACGUUUGUCCAACAGUUAAUUCCUUCAAUUCAAGCAUCAGGUCCAGUUUUCAUUUACUUUUGUCUUCCAUGAGCUUCUAGUCAUUGAGUUUCUGUAAUGUUUUUGGUCUUCUUCCUCUCAGUUUCUGUAUAUUGAGAAUUUCAAACUACUUCUUACCUUUUUUCUUCUUUAUGUAAGAAUAGACUGAGUUUAUCAUUUUAAAAGUAACACAGGUUUUCAUAACCUUCUUCUGCUAUCUUUCAAAUUUACCAGUAUUAUGUUUUUAAAUGAAGAUAUUCAUGGUCUUUCACAAGUAGUCCCAUCAUCUCCAGACAGUAGGAAGAUCACCUUCUUAAUUGCUACUGCCAGAGCCAUAGCAAGAACACAAAUACAGUUUGCAUUUGCCCAGUUUGCUGCUGCAGCACUGUGUUGGUAUUACACAUUUAGUUGAUUUAUCACUUUAAUGACUGAUUUUUUUCUUUUUCAGAGUAAUUUCAUCACCUUAAUGAAAAGGAAGAUGACCUUUUAAAAUAAUUACAUCCAAUAACAACUCAAUUUUAGUGUGAUAAAUGCUCUUUGCUCCUUAAUUUGUAUUAUUUGAUUUGUAGCAAUGCAAUAGCAGGAUAACUAAAUUUCAGCUAAUCCCCAAUGAAUAUCAUUCAAAGAGUGAAAAAAAUAUAUUUUCAAAUACCUGGAACAAGAUGUCAGUGCACACAACUCUGUCCUCUACAGCAGUGGACAGAUCUUCUUCCUAACCCUAAGUAAUUAUGGGCACAGAAUUUAAAGAAAUCUAUAUGCAGACAUCCGUAUGCAAUCCUUUCCGCAUUAUCUGGGAAUUACUGUUUUCUUACCUUCUGGGAAGUGUCUGUGUGGAGACCCUUUAUUUUACCCGUUCAUUGCAGCCCAUUGCUGCUGUCUGUGCAGGUUACGCCCAAAUGAAGGCUUGCAAAGUCUUCCAUACACUAGUACUUAGCAGGCACUUCUACCAAAACAGCCUCAGGUGGAUGUUUUUCUACUAAAGUCAAAGUGUCAGAGGGCACACAAUGCUUUUCACUAAGAUAUCUUGUCUCUAGACAGCGCACAUCUGUUCUCUGAACAGUAUGUUCAUGAAUGAACUGGAGUAGAGAGUGAGCUCUGAGGUGAUUAAAGUCUUCUGAUGAUACAGUGUUAUUCAAAGCAAAAAAGACAGGAGCUUACCAUGAAAAACUACAUAGAGAUCUUACAAGACUGAGUGACGGGGCAAUAAAAUGAAAGAUAAAAUUCAGUGUAGAUAAAUG